UUCUCGGACUAUUUUUAUACAAGGAAGAAUUUUUUUCAAUUACACAUAGAGCUUAAUUCAGCAACAAUUUGGGUUGACUGUAUUAAAACGUCGUCGUUGGAUUCAACUAUCAGCGCAUAACUUAUUAAUUUGUCAUCAUGGCUAUGUCAAUUGAAGGUAACCCUCGCAUGAGGUUUGAGGGUGGAGUUGAUCUGGUUCCGUACAAUAGUAGAUUAGGAAUAGCAGCUUUCUCCAAACCAACAACAGAAUCAGAAAAAACCUUAGAAGAUGAACUGGAUAGAGAAGCAGACGAUAAUCCCUCUUUCCAGAAAGCUUGGACUGCAGCCGGUAGGGAAAAGAGUCAACUGUCUAAACUUGUCCAUCAAUACAAAACAACACUGAAGAAGAGUGAGAUCAAGUUAAUCAUGGCAUAUACCUAUGAAGGGAAAGAAGAGGAUCCUAAAUUUUAUAGCGAAUUAAAUGAAGAUUUUCGAGACAGUGAUCUAACAGGAGGACGUUUUCCAAAUGCCAAAAGAAUUUUACGUAAUGCGUUGAUUAAAUUGGGGGAAUUUCAGAAAAAAGGGGAUAAAACGUUACGUGAUGUUCUUUACAGAUGGGAGCCUAGUUUCCUUGCGGAGAAAUACCGAAAGCAAGAAGAUAAGUCGAUGCACCUAAACAUGUUUACUUCAACCAGUUUGAGGAAGGAUUGUCCGCACAAAAAAGAGAACAACAUGCAAGUCGAAUUCAGAAAGCCAGAAACUGGGGCGUUCAUAAGGGAUUUUUCUUUUUACUCUUCUGAAGAUGAAGUAUUGUUGCCACCACUACAUGGGAAAAUUAAAGUCAUUAAAGCAUCCGAAGAUGGAUCUAAAUUGCAGGGACCAGUUUUGUAAUUCUGUUUUGGAAAACAUUAAUUUAUCAGAUGCUAUUCAACUAUAUCAAGAAUAAAGUUCUCUAUUGAUAACAAAGAUAUUGGUUUAAUAUUUAAAUUUCAUCCAAUUAUUUUAUGGAUUCCGUGCUCUUUAGUUUAGUGUAUUGCUUGCCUGUUGUUGCAUUUGAAUAAUCUGAUUAAAACACAGAAUCCAUUUCGUUUCGUUUUUGUAGUUCAAAAUUUUGUUCUACUUAUUUUCAUUUAACUUUGUGGACAUAAGCAUAUGGGAUCAAUCUUCUUUUUAAAAUGAAUCCAUCAUUAACUAAAACCAAUUUUUCACAAAGCUGUGAUGAUUGUUUAUUUUUAAUUAAUUACACAAUAACAUAACAAUAUAAAUUACAAUAUGUUAAGCAAAAAAACAACUUAAUAUUCCCCAUGCUCUGAUGUUUGUGCCCGAAAAACGGAACUACAUUGACUGAAAAACGGCUUUGGUUGUGGAGGCCAUUUGGAAUAUAAAACAACGAAACGAAAUAUAGAUUUAAUCAGAUUGUAAUUUGAACUGCAUGUAUUUCUGUAUUACUUGUAAUUUGAACAGCAUGUAUUUUUAUAUUACUUAUAAUUUAAACUGAGUGUAUUUCUGUAUUACUUGUAAUUUGAACUGAAUAUUUUUUUGUAUUACUUGUCUGUUAUUUAAUUUGAAUUAUCGCCAGUUCUUUGAGUGUUUGAUAUUUUAAUUUAACCUAUAGACACUGAUUUUAAAAAUAUAUAUUUUAAUUGCUUUUAAUAAACACAGUCACAUGUCAUGACGCCUUACUUUC
Patella vulgata (common limpet) is the source of this 1665-nucleotide long non-coding RNA. RefSeq lists it as uncharacterized. NCBI's taxonomy places the organism in Eukaryota, Metazoa, Mollusca, Gastropoda, Patellidae. The transcript has 2 exons. The record is from RefSeq and is a predicted model, not a curated record.